UCCGUAGGUGAACCUGCGGAAGGAUCAUUAUCGUAGGGCUUCGGCCCUGUCGAGAUAGAACCCUUGCCUUUUUGAGUACCUUUCGUUUCCUCGGCAGGCUCGCCUGCCAAUGGGGACCACAAAAACACUUUGCAGUACCUGUAACAGUCUGAACAAACAAACAAAAAUUAAAACUUUCAACAACGGAUCUCUUGGUUCUGGCAUCGAUGAAGAACGCAGCGAAAUGCGAUAAGUAGUGUGAAUUGCAGAAUUCCGCGAAUCAUCGAGUUUUUGAACGCAAGUUGCGCCCGAGGCUUGUCCGAGGGCAUUUCCGCUAGAGCGUCACCGCGCCCCCCACCCACCACAUCUCUUCUGAGUGUGAAUGGAACUGGCCGUCCCGGCACAUCGGGUCGGCUGAAAUGGAGGGAAUUUGGCCGCCGUGGCAUCACUUGCCCCGCGAUCAGGUGCGAUACUCGAAAGAGUUCAUUCCAAGUGCGGGGCUCCCAGUGAGCCCGAGUGCGUGCCCCGAGUUCCACAGCAGGCUACCUUGAGCAGCACCUUGAGUGCUGCAAAGCGUGAAGAGGUAACGGCAUCAGGACCUCUAAUCGGGGAAAAGGGACCUACCCCGGCCCGGAGGUUUAAGGCAUAUCAAUAAGGCGGGAGGGGAAGGUCGGACUGGCCAAGGGGCACACAGGGGGGGGGAUA
Molecule: ribosomal RNA, 684 nt
Filed under: uncultured fungus
Lineage: Eukaryota; Fungi
Description: eukaryotic LSU rRNA
Rfam family: 5.8S ribosomal RNA (bases 172-324)
Source: RNAcentral